Molecule: ribosomal RNA, 507 nt
Filed under: uncultured bacterium
Lineage: Bacteria
Description: partial 16S ribosomal RNA
Rfam family: Bacterial small subunit ribosomal RNA
Source: RNAcentral
GACGAACGCUGGCGGCGUGCCUAAUACAUGCAAGUCGAACGCAUUUUCUUUCACCGUAGCUUGCUACACCGAAAGAAAAUGAGUGGCGAACGGGUGAGUAACACGUGGGUAACCUGCCCAUCAGCGGGGGAUAACACUUGGAAACAGGUGCUAAUACCGCAUAAUUCCAUUUACCGCAUGGUAAAUGGAUGAAAGGCGCUUUUGCGUCACUGAUGGAUGGACCCGCGGUGCAUUAGCUAGUUGGUGGGGUAACGGCCUACCAAGGCUGCGAUGCAUAGCCGACCUGAGAGGGUGAUCGGCAACACUGGGACUGAGACACGGCCCAGACUCCUACGGGAGGCAGCAGUAGGGAAUCUUCGGCAAUGGACGCAAGUCUGACCGAGCAACGCCGCGUGAUUGAAGAAGGUUUUCGGAUCGUAAAACUCUGUUGUUAGAGAAGAACAAGGAUGAGAGUGGAAAGUUCAUCCCUUGACGGUAUCUAACCAGAAAGCCACGGCAAACUACGUG